Molecule: unclassified non-coding RNA, 913 nt
Filed under: Zea mays
Lineage: Eukaryota; Viridiplantae; Streptophyta; Magnoliopsida; Poales; Poaceae
Description: misc RNA Zm00001eb124540
Source: RNAcentral
UCGGUAUCAUAUUCGCCCGUGUCUGAGAACCUGCAAUUAGGCGAGCACCCGACUGAUCACGUCAUAUAUGGCCUAUAUACAAUGGAAGAAAACGACGCGGCCCCCUGGAUGGCUGGACCUCAUCCAUCCAUGCCUUUAUUCCAAGGAGCAAAGGAGGGGGAGGAGAAUCUCCAAGAAGCCACAAGAAGAGGGAGGAGAACCAGCACUCUGAACACGCAACUGAAGGAGCUCACGAGGAUUCUUCCUGCUCGCACGCCCAGCGUCGUUCCUGGUUCGGCAGGGCUCUCACCCGCGGUCGUAGUAGCCGCGCGCCGCGGAGGAGAGGAAGGCCGGCACGUCGGCGCCGGCGGCGAGGCGGACGUAGUAGUGCGCCGCCAGCGGCGACUCCGGCGGCGAGUCGUUGCGGAAGAAGGGGUUGCCGGUGGGCGACUGGCCGCCGCUGGCGAGGUGGAGGAUGGCCCGGUACAGGAACGGCAGCAGGCCCUCCAUGGUCUGCUACUUUGGUUCCGCUCGCGCACGGGCUCCGAAAGCAGAGCAACACGCACGCCAACGACGACGACGGCUACAGUUGUGUGUGUUUGGUUGGUCUGGGCGGCGAGCGCGGCUGCGGCAGGGGUUUAUGAAGGCGAUUAGCGAGACAGAGAUGUGCUCUGGCCUCUGGACUUUGACUAAUCAAUUCGACCAGAGGCGGUAGUGGGGAACAACUGGAUUAGUGAUACGGCUGCUAGAGGAGGCUGGGAGGAAAGGGAAAUGGUCAAGGAGAGGAUGCCGCGUCAACUGGAAGAGGAGUUGGAUAAUGUGCCUGUGUGGUCUGUAGACGCCUGGAGGGGAGUAUUUAUCAACCAGGACACCAGGAAGCACAGGAAUACAAGAUGCAGUAGUUUAUGCAGCAGCCGGGAAUAUUAUUUGGGUG